UCAUGCCUAAAUCUAACCAUGAGGAAACAUCAGACAAACCCAAAUCGAGGGACAUUCUACAAAAUAACUGCCCUGUACUCCUUAAAAAAGUCAAUGUCAUAAAAGACUAAGGAACUGUUCCUGAUUAAAGCAGACUAACGGGGCAUGACCACUGACUACAACAUGUGAUCCAGAAUUUCUUUAGUUGUAAGAAGCAUUAUUGGGUCAGUUGACAAAAUCCGAAUAAGGCCUAUGAUCAGAUAAUUUAUACUCUAUCAAUGUCAUUUCCUUAUUUUGACUAUCACACUGUGGUUAUGAAAGAGAGAAUACUUCCUUUUAGAAAACACACACUGAGAUAUUUAGUACCAACUUACCUGAAGCUUACUUUCAAACAGUUCCAAAAAAUGUGUGUGUGUAUGCAUACAUGUAUGUAUAUGUGUAUAGGUAUGCAGAGGGAGGGAAAGAAAUCAAAUGUAAAGUGUUAACAUUUAAGGGAUCUGGGUACAGGAUAUAUGGGAAUUCUUUGUACUAGUCUUACAACUUUUAUGUAGGUCUGAAAUUAUGUCCACCAGACUUUAACCUCAUGAGAGCCUUGUGCAUCUUUGUAUUUCAAACACCUUGCACAGGACCCAGCUUGAAAAAAUGCUGAAGUGGAUGGAUGAGGCUCUUAAAUCCGGGGAGAGUUGCACCAGCUCGUGGUGUAAUAAGGAAAGCAUACUGCCAUGGAAAAGCCCAUUCCUGCCUGUACAAUAAGCAUGCUUAUUCUACCUUCAUCGACCUUUUAUGAGUCAAGCAAGUCACACUUAAAAUUACCGAGUGAUGGAAAAAUAGGAAUGAGGGUAUAGGUGUAGAUUUUAUCAUCUGGCCAGGACACAAGGCCAUUAGAUUGAUCAGCUGGUUUCAUUGGUGUGGGGAUGGCUGUAGCCUCUGGAGCAAAGUUAGCCCCACAGGCAGAGAAGAGGAUAGGGUUCUCUCAAAAAUCUGAGUUCUAGAUUCAGCCUUCACCUGCCUUUGCUUCCUACCACUCAUCCUGAGGGCUGUGUGGGUCAAAACAUUCCCCUAAACCCAUCCUAUUCGGAAGCCAAGCUGGAAACCAUAUAGUCCUUGUCAGUGUCUUCUUUCCCUCCUGGGUCUGCCCCAAACCCACCUCUCCCCACCAGCAGUGUGAGUUUCUAACGUGGGACAAGCAGUAAUAAGUGAGCUUGAUCUCAAAGAACAGAGAAGACUGAGGGAGGAGGAAGAGGAGAUUGAAGGUAUUUCAGGCAAAAGCAACAUCAUAUGCAAAGGCUUAGAAAGAUAUUCAAAAGCACAUCAACUGACAUAUCAGCUUCAUCCAAUUCUGUGUGGAAUAUGUGCCAAGGAAAGCUUUGGAUAUAAUAUAAAUAAUUUUUAGGUUGAUUUAAGUCCUGGAACUAGAAUUUAAGUCUGGUUUUUCCAUUUAUCAACUCAUAACAAAUAUUUUAUAGGUCUCUGGUCAAGUUUAUAUGAUCAGAAUGAAAAUUUUGUAGAUCCUUAUUUGAAUGAGGUACCAAUUUUUAAAAGAAAAAUAUGUGGUUUAGUAGUAUAAGAUUGCCUUUAUACUUUAGAGUUUAAUUGGCAAAACUCGUGGACCAGAUCAUGAAAAGGCAUCCACUAGGAGGUCUGGGGAGCCUUAGCUAAUUCACCUACUAAUCAUUCUUCUUUUCUUUUCUUUUUUGACAUUACCAUCGUGACCUGAGAACCUGUGUCUUUCACACAUUUUGCCUGUUACCUUGCCUUUGACUGUCCCUGGUAUGGAGAAAGCUCUUCCUUCACCUCUUAGCUCUGGGACUCAGGUGCUGCAUUUUACGAGUGACGUUGACAAGCUGGAGUGUGCCAGAGAGGAGGGACAGGGUGGGAGGAGACACCUCAUUCUACUACCAACAUUUUAGGAAACAUAUUGCUUAGCCUGAAAAAGGGUAGACAGGUACGGGUUAGGCCCUUAACCAUCCUGAUUUGCCCAGGACUGAGAAGGUUUCCAGACACAGAGCUUUCAGGGUUUUGUUUUGUUCUGUUUAAAAGAUUUUUUUGAUGUGGACCAUUUUUAAAGUCUUCAUUGAAUUUGU
Molecule: long non-coding RNA, 2063 nt
Organism: Aethalodelphis obliquidens (Pacific white-sided dolphin)
Lineage: Eukaryota; Metazoa; Chordata; Mammalia; Artiodactyla; Delphinidae
Exons: 2
Source: RefSeq, a predicted model, not a curated record